This 587-nucleotide long non-coding RNA is filed under the name Androctonus crassicauda. The record is from RNAcentral. Lineage: Eukaryota; Metazoa; Arthropoda; Arachnida; Scorpiones; Buthidae.
GUACAUGAAAUUAUCUUUUAUUAUCUUAGCAUCUUGUGAGGCUGUCUGGAGGUCGUUGCUAUAUGUUUCUGUUGCCGGGGCGGUGAAUGGUUUUUCCUUGGUUGUGUCAUUCCUAUGCUCGUUGGGUCUUUGUUUUGGCGUUCUGGUGGUCACUCCUAUAUGGGCCGCUUGUUGUCGGGUGUUGACGUGCUUGACUGUUAUCUUCUGAACGCUUUGCCUUUCCCAGUCUUCUCUUUUGUCUUUCUCAUUCCUGGGCUUGUUAAGGAUGGUUGGGGCUCUAUAAUGGGUUGGUUUUUUGUUGGCUAUUCUUGCUAUGUUCUUGGUGGGCUUAGGCUUGCUGGGGGUGUACAGUGUGGGCGGGUGUUCUUCUUUUUGGGAGUGGCUUGUGCUUGGCUUGGUUGUUCUGGGUGACUCUGUUUGUGAUGCCUGUUGGACUUUGUGAUGGAUGUCUUUUGUGAAGUUUUCCUAUAACCGUGUUGGUGGCUGGCUGGCUUUGUAAAUGUAUUUUGUUUCACUUUCUGGGUCUUGUUGGUUGGUGGAUUGUAGAGGUGUUCUUCUGAAAGGAGAUCUAAAUGCUGCUUUUUUUG